RNAcentral lists this non-coding RNA (29 nucleotides) under Mus musculus (house mouse). Lineage: Eukaryota; Metazoa; Chordata; Mammalia; Rodentia; Muridae. The record is from RNAcentral.
UACAUAGGUCCUAAGCUGAGUUCCCAUUG